UCAAAGAUUCGAACCUGCAGCAGGUUCGAGUUGAGCGUAGCGAAACAACGGAGCCGCUCGCGGCGACGGCCCGAAGGGCGAGCGAAGCGAGUCAUCCUGCACGACCCACCA
This 111-nucleotide small RNA is filed under the name Escherichia coli. RNAcentral describes it as "partial RtT sRNA". It matches the Rfam family "RtT RNA", at positions 16 to 130 of the family's 130-position model. Rfam says of the family: This family represents a bacterial cis-regulatory element known as RtT RNA. The exact function of RtT is unknown although it is thought that it may be involved in changing the cellular response in relation to amino acid starvation. The record is from RNAcentral. Lineage: Bacteria; Pseudomonadati; Pseudomonadota; Gammaproteobacteria; Enterobacterales; Enterobacteriaceae.